Molecule: ribosomal RNA, 513 nt
Filed under: uncultured eukaryote
Lineage: Eukaryota
Description: partial small subunit ribosomal RNA
Source: RNAcentral
UUCCGGACCUUGUCAAAAUAUACAAGGCAGCCCAAUAUCAGGAGCUCAUGGAACUAUGGCACAGGGCGAUGGUAAAGUGCGCGCUGUUUAUUUUUCCUAUUAUGAUAUUUCUGUUUGUAAUGGCUCCUGAGGUUAUGCGAAUACUGUUUUCGGCAAAAUAUGAAGAUAGUGCAGUACCAUUUCGUGUUUACUUAUUGCUUCUUCCCAUUCGGAUUACGACCUUUGGGGCAAUAUUUAUGGCGGCAGGGAAAAACACUUUGAUACUUUAUCGUACAAUUGUGGGAUUAUUAUUAAAUUUAGUUUUAAGCAUUAUUUUAAUUAAAUUUUUUGGCGCUAUAGGUGCCGCUGUUGCUACAGUUAUAGUCAUAUAUGUUUGGAAUAUACCUUAUUGUUUAUUUUUCAUUGGAAAAAUUCUACAUACAGGAUUUUUUCGCAUUUUCCCUUAUCGGCGCCUUGCUAAUAUAUUGUUAAUUGCGGUUUUGCCGAGCAUCAUUUUAGGAGCUGGAUUGGUCU